UACGUACUGUGCGAACGUUAUUCGGAAUCACUGGGCUUAAAGGGUGCGUAGGCGGCCAAUUAAGUAGGGUGUGAAAUCCCUCGGCUCAACCGAGGAAUUGCGCUCUAAACUGGUUGGCUUGAGUGAGAUAGGGGUGUGCGGAACUUCCAGUGGAGCGGUGAAAUGUGUUGAGAUUGGAAGGAACGCCGGUGGCGAAAGCGGCACACUGGGUCUUAACUGACGCUGAGGCCCGAAAGACAGGGGAGCGAACGGG
RNAcentral lists this ribosomal RNA (253 nucleotides) under uncultured bacterium. RNAcentral describes it as "partial 16S ribosomal RNA". It matches the Rfam family "Bacterial small subunit ribosomal RNA", at positions 524 to 776 of the family's 1533-position model. The record is from RNAcentral.